Molecule: ribosomal RNA, 408 nt
Filed under: uncultured bacterium
Lineage: Bacteria
Description: partial 16S ribosomal RNA
Rfam family: Bacterial small subunit ribosomal RNA
Source: RNAcentral
GACGAACGCUGGCGGCGUGCCUAACACAUGCAAGUCGACCUUAGUGGCUAACGGGUGAGUAACAUGUGGGUAACCUGCCCAUCAGAAGGGGGUAACAUUUGGCAACAGGUGCUAAUAGCGUAUACAGAUGGAUGGACCGGUGGUGCAUUAGCUAGUUGGUGAGGUAACGGCUCACCAAGGCCACGAUCCAUAGCCGGCCUGAGAGGGUGAUCGGCCACAUUGGAACUGAGACACGGCCCAAACUCCUACGGGAGGCAGCAGUAGGGAAUCUUCGGCAAUGGACGAAAGUCUGACCGAGCAACGCCGCGUGAGUGAAGAAGGUUUUCGGAUCGUAAAGCUCUGUUGUUAGAGAAGCGGUAUCUAACCAGAAAGCCACGGCUAACUACGUGCCAGCCGCCGCGGUAAUAC